UACGGGGGGGGCGAGCGUUGUUCGGAAUUACUGGGCGUAAAGGGUUUGUAGGUGGCUGGCUAAGUCAGACGUGAAAUCCCUCAGCUUAACUGGGGAACUGCGUCUGAGACUGGCGAGCUCGAGUGCAGGAGAGGAACGCGGAAUUCCAGGUGUAGCGGUGAAAUGCGUAGAUAUCUGGAGGAACACCGGUGGCGAAGGCGGCGUUCUGGACUGCAACUGACACUGAAAAACGAAAGCCAGGGGAGCAAACGGG
Molecule: ribosomal RNA, 253 nt
Filed under: uncultured bacterium
Lineage: Bacteria
Description: partial 16S ribosomal RNA
Rfam family: Bacterial small subunit ribosomal RNA
Source: RNAcentral